RNAcentral lists this ribosomal RNA (253 nucleotides) under uncultured bacterium. RNAcentral's name for it is "partial 16S ribosomal RNA". It matches the Rfam family "Bacterial small subunit ribosomal RNA", at positions 524 to 776 of the family's 1533-position model. The record is from RNAcentral.
UACGAAGGGGGCAAGCGUUGUUCGGAAUUACUGGGCGUAAAGCGCGCGUAGGCGGCUUUGCAAGUCGGGUGUGAAAUCCCCAGGCUCAACCUGGGAACUGCAUUCGAGACUGCAUUGCUAGAGUAUGGGAGAGGGAAGUGGAAUUUCCGGUGUAGCGGUGAAAUGCGUAGAUAUCGGAAGGAACAUCAGUGGCGAAAGCGACUUCCUGGACCAAUACUGACGCUCAUGUGCGAAAGCGUGGGGAGCAAACAGG